Molecule: long non-coding RNA, 2105 nt
Organism: Oenanthe melanoleuca
Lineage: Eukaryota; Metazoa; Chordata; Aves; Passeriformes; Muscicapidae
Exons: 3
Source: RefSeq, a predicted model, not a curated record
AGUACUGUACAAAAAAGUACGAUUCUUCCCCACACAGAAGGUUUGGCAUUUGUGCAGCCUCUCUCUACAAUUGAGAGAGGAAACACGGACAGACACUUCAAAUAUGAGGAAAGCAGCAUCAAGGAGAUCUCAAAGAGGGAAAAGAUGGCAGAAAAGGGAAUCACAGAAUCAAUUAGGUUGGAAAAGACCUCGAAUAGUCGAGUCCAGCCAAUGAACUAACACCACCAUGUCAACUAGACCAUGGCACUAAGUGCUACAUCCAGUCUUUUCUUAAACACUUUCAGGAUGCCAGAUUUCUCAGGAUGUGGAGUAUGUGUGGGUGCUUGGUGAAAACGGCUCACCAGAGAGCAAGUAGCCUGUGUUUGGGACAGACAACCUGCUGCUCAGAUGAUUCAGAAGAGAUUUGGCCUUCAUCCAAGGGACAGCAGUUGCAUCUUAAUUUUGUAAACCUGAGAACUGAGAUAAGCGUCUUCACAUUCUGCAUGGCUUCCGUAUGCCUGCGUUACUUGUGAUAACCACUGGGUGUCGUGAGUCUCUUUGGAUUACCGGAUACAGAGAAGGACAAAUUUAGUCCAAUCAAGGACUGCCUAUGGACUUUUUUUUCCGGGUGAAAAGGCCUUUGUCUAAUUUAUAUAGGAUUACAAAAAGGAGUCCCAAAUCCUACUUUAAAAUAAUGGUUUUUUUUAGGCAAAUGUAUGAUUCUUGAGGCUGUCCUGUGCAGGGAGAGUAGUUGGACUUUGAUGAUCCUUGUGGGCUCCUUCCAACUCAGAAUAUUCUGUGCUUCUUUACUCAUGUACCAAGAGCAACUAAUAAAAGACAGGUAUACUACAAACAACAGCCUAAUUCUCUACAUGUUUUAUUCCUGUUCCCAUUUAGUCAUUCAACUGAAUGACACCUUGUUUGGCAGAAAAACACCAAGAUGUCAGUAGAUAAUUAAAGAAAUUCUGAUAACAUAGAUGUAUAAUAUAGUAAAACUAAGGAUGAAUUAGUGAUCUCAAAUUGGUAUUUUCCUAAUUUUUGCGAAUGAUAUUUGACAUGGCUGUGUUUGAGGUUACGAUUUGGGGAAAGAUUUUGGCCUAUUAUUUUCAUCAUUUUUACAGGCAAAGGAAAAGGCACGAAUAUAUAACUUUGUAUACAAGGAUAAAAAACAUACUUCGUGCAGAAGAGAACUUGAAUCUUGAAGCUUCGGUACAGACCUGUGCUGCGGAGGAUUAAAGACCAGCCAUAUUAGUUGCACAUGGGAGGAUUACAUUUCCUACAGACUAGUCAGUAGGAGAUCAUAUGAUGUUGUAACAUUGAUACAGCCAUGUGCUGUGCCUCACAGUAUGGAUAGAUGAGCCAGGGAUAUAGACUGGACGUGGGCUUUCCAAGAAGCUCAGAUGCCACUGUGACUCAGUUGCUUUCUCUGUGGGCUCGUUAUGUUAGAUGGCUGAACUAAUCUGGUGUGUGGGGGUUCUCUUAGUAGUGGUUGAAGCUUUGCCUAACAGUAUGAUUGUGAAACGUUCAGAUACUAGAACCAUCUGAAAGACAAAUACAGAACUGUCUCGGUUUGCAGGACAAAGUAUGUUCCCCUCUUAUAGGGGAGUAUAGCAGGAUAUAUUUUUACCUUUAACACAGAAUCCUGCACUGCACUGACUAGCACAGCAAAACACUGAACAGUUUGUGUCUAGUGUGGCAGGAAUUGUGAGGACUAUAGGAGCAGAUCAAGAAAAAUCUGCUAAGUGCUGAUUUUUACACUGGACUGUGUAUAAUGUAGCCAAAUUUGAAGAAAUUUUUAUGACACUAGAAAAAGGUGCCUUGGUGAUAGUACUUCACAGAUCUUCAGACCAACUUUUAAAACUUGGUAGGUGUAGCAGCUCUUCUGAAGAAGUCUUUCAAAGAGGAUGCCAGUAUCAGUUAAAACAUGCUUUUGUUCUGGAGUCGUUUAUGGACCUUGCUGAGAUCCCUAAUUACUGUUUGCAACCUAUGGUCAGGGAGAAACUAAAAACCAAUUUUUAUUUGAAGUGGUAUAGCAGUAUGGACAGAAGAUAUAAAUUGGAUUUCUAAUCUGAUUUCUGUUGUGCUGAAUUCAUGAGGAGCUACUGAUAGCUCACCAGUCUUGAAAA